UGACCGUGUGAGGAAACUUGCCGA
This 24-nucleotide non-coding RNA is filed under the name Arabidopsis thaliana (thale cress). The record is from RNAcentral. Lineage: Eukaryota; Viridiplantae; Streptophyta; Magnoliopsida; Brassicales; Brassicaceae.